GACGAACGCUGGCGGCGUGCUUAACACAUGCAAGUCGAACGGUGAAGCGCCUUCCUUUUUGGUGGGUGUGGACGAGUGGCGAACGGGUGAGUAACACGUGAGUAACCUGCCCCCUUCUUCUGGAUAACCGCAUGAAAGUGUGGCUAAUACGGGAUAUUCUGGGUCUGUCGCAUGAUGGGUCUGGGAAAGAUAUUGUUUCGGUGGGGGAUGGGCUCGCGGCCUAUCAGCUUGUUGGUGGGGUGAUGGCCUACCAAGGCGGUGACGGGUAGCCGGCCUGAGAGGGUGGACGGUCACACGGGGACUGAGACACGGCCCAGACUCCUACGGGAGGCAGCAGUGGGGAAUAUUGCACAAUGGGCGCAAGCCUGAUGCAGCGACGCCGCGUGAGGGAUGGAGGCCUUCGGGUUGCGAACCUCUUUCGCCAGUGAAGCAGGCCUGCCUCGUUUGUGGGUGGGUUGACGGUAGCUGGAUAAGAAGCGCCGGCUAACUACGUG
Molecule: ribosomal RNA, 494 nt
Filed under: uncultured bacterium
Lineage: Bacteria
Description: partial 16S ribosomal RNA
Rfam family: Bacterial small subunit ribosomal RNA
Source: RNAcentral